UUCGAAUCCUGGGCGCGGACAUGGCACUGCUCAUCAAACCACGCUGAGGCAGCGUCCCACAUGCCACAACUAGAAGGACCCACAACGAAGAAUAUACAACUAUGUACCAGGGGGCUUUGGGGAGAAAAAGGAAAAAAUAAAAAAUCUUUAAAAAAAAAAAUACACAACUCCUUUUCCUUAAACUCUGAUUAGUUUCAAAAUGAUCGUACCCCUGAAGGGCUGUUAUAGUCCUAUAGGAAAACGUUCUGUUGCAUGAGACCUGAGAAGGGGCAUCAUUAACGUUCACAGAGCUGAGGGGAAGAGAGCUUUCCUCCUACUUCCCCAGGGAGACCACGAGCAGAUUCCUCACCAGAAACCCUGGAGGCCAGAGGGCAAGGGCUGAUGUACUCAAAGUGCAGAAGGAAAAGAAUCCGACCAGGAACCUCUAUCUGGAGAGCAGUCCUUCCAAAAUGAGGGAGCAACCAAGACGUUCCCAGAAAAGCACGGCUCAGAGAGCGCUGUCCACCAGACCCACCUCCGAGGAAGGGAGUCCUUCAGGCUGGAAGGAGAGGACGCGGACGGGCACUCGACGCCUCGGGCAGAAAUGAAGGUCUCUGCUCAAGUAAGUAGGAGACGACUACAAAAGCUGGAACUAUUCUAACUUUGGCUUGUACCUCCUCUUCUUGUUUUCUGCAUUAAGAGACUAAAGGAUUAAAACCCCAAUUCUUAGUCUGUGUUUUUGGACACACAAUGCCAUUGAUGGAAUUCUGUGACAUUAAGAACUGAAACAGGCAGCGUGAGAGCUCUAUAGGGUCCCAGUUUCUCUAUGUUACUGAAGUGACGCUGGCAUCAAUUGACAUUUGAGUGUUAUGACUUUAGGAUGUUAAGUGUAAUUUCACGGUAACCACAAAGAAAAGAGCUAUCGAAUAUACACAAAGCAAAAUGAGAAGGGAGUUAAAUUGCCUUUUCAGUAAUUGUACAGACGAGCUGCACGGCCCCGUCUACCACAACUGGGUCUAUGUUCAUGAGGUGACCUUUUAAAGCCACUAAAGGUGAGGGCUGGCUGCCAGGGGAACCCACCUCCAUCGGACAGUCGGAACUUUCAUUCCCACCCCCUGAUUUCCUGGGAGGGGAGAGGGGGCGGCGGUCGAAUCCAUCACCAACGGCCAAUGAGCUAAUCAAUCCUUCUUCUCUAAGGAAGCCUCCAUAAAGACCUCCAACCCCAAAGAGGUUCAGAGCGCUUCCAGGGGGGAGCUAGCACGCUUCCGCGGGCCACCUGCCGGGCCCCGAACUGCACGAGGACAGAAGCUCCUUCGUCAGGGACCUCGCCGUGUGUAUCUUCAUCUGCCUGUUGAUUCGCAUCUUGAAAUCUUAUGUGAUAAACCAGUAAUCUAGUGAGUAAACUGGUUUCCUGAGUCCUGUGAGCCACUCUAGCAAAUUAAUCGAGCCCACAGUGGGGCUCGUGCUAACCUCUGAUCUAUAUCCUGCUGGUCAGAAGCACAGGUGACAACCUGGGCUGGCGACUGGCAUCUGAAGUCGAGGCAGCCUGGUGGGACCGAGCCCUCGACCCGUGGAACGUGAUGCUGGCCCCGCGGAGAGGGUCAGAAUCGAGGCGAAGUGUCAGGGAAUUGUCAGGGGUCAGGGAACGGCUUGGUGGUAUGGGAACACUUCCCUCUACACACAUCAGAAGUGGGUAGCAGAAUCUUCCCCAGAAACAACCAGGACGCCGAGAGGAAGCCCAUGUAGCCACACGCAGGAGGACCAAGGCCCCAGGCCGCCAGCCCCGCCAGCUCCCAGCUGUCAGCCAGCACCAACUUGCCAGCAUUGGGAGCAAGGCCUCAGCUGAUGUCACGAAGGGUGGAGAGGAGCUGUCCCCCAGGCCCGGGCCCAAACUGUGAAAUCCUGAGUCAAUAAAUGAUGAUUUCCGUUUUAAACCGCUAACAUUGGGGCUGGUUGGUUACACAACGACAGAGGACCGCAGCAGCCCCCACCCCUUGCUCCGUGCACGCUCCAGUUCUGCAGAUGCCCCUCACACCCUGUCACAGACCGAAUGUUUGUGUCCCCCCAGCUUCCUAUGUUGACGCCCUGGGCCCCAGGUGGCAGUGUCUGGAGACGGGGCCUGUGAGGAGGUGCCGAAGGCUAACUGAGGCCAUGAGGGUGGGGCCCUAACUCGGUAGGACCAGUGCUCUGACAAGAGGAAGGGACACGAGAGCUCUCUCUCCACCACCAGACGCGUCUCCAUGCAGGGGCACCGCUGACCGGCCUGCACACCCUCGGC
RNAcentral lists this long non-coding RNA (2257 nucleotides) under Equus caballus (horse). Its description in RNAcentral is "lncRNA (ENSECAG00000059725.1)". Lineage: Eukaryota; Metazoa; Chordata; Mammalia; Perissodactyla; Equidae. The record is from RNAcentral.